This 72-nucleotide transfer RNA is filed under the name Ovis aries (sheep). It matches the Rfam family "tRNA". From Rfam's summary of the family: Transfer RNA (tRNA) molecules are approximately 80 nucleotides in length. Lineage: Eukaryota; Metazoa; Chordata; Mammalia; Artiodactyla; Bovidae. The record is from Rfam by way of RNAcentral.
UCCCUAGUGGCUCAGAUGGUAAAGAAUCUGCCUGCAGUGCAGGAGACCUGGGUUCAAUUCCUGGGUUGGGAA